Molecule: ribosomal RNA, 424 nt
Filed under: uncultured fungus
Lineage: Eukaryota; Fungi
Description: eukaryotic LSU rRNA
Rfam family: Eukaryotic large subunit ribosomal RNA
Source: RNAcentral
GACCUCGGAUCAGGUAGGGAUACCCGCUGAACUUAAGCAUAUCAAUAGGCGGAGGAGAAGAAACCAACUGGGAUUGCCUCAGUAACGGCGAGUGAAGCGGCAUCAGCUCAGAUUUGAAAUCUGGUUCUUUCAGAGCCCGAGUUGUAAUCUGUAGAGGAGUCUUCGGGUUUGGAUCUGGCCUAAGUUUCUUGGAACAGAACGUCAUAGAGGGUGAGAGUCCCGUAUGAGGCCAGCUACCUAUUCCCAUGUGAAGCUUCUUCGACGAGUCGAGUUGUUUGGGAAUGCAGCUCAAAAUUGGUGGUAAAUUUCAUCUAAAGCUAAAUAUUGGCGGGAGACCGAUAGCGCACAAGUAGAGUGAUCGAAAGAUGAAAAGCACUUUGAAAAGAGAGUUAAAAAGUACGUGAAAUUGUUGAAAGGGAAACGC